AUUUAUAUAGCUUAUGAAAGCAUCAUAUUGAAGCUAUGAAGAUGGCUUCUGCCUAUAAAUA
Molecule: transfer RNA, 61 nt
Filed under: Calanus hyperboreus
Lineage: Eukaryota; Metazoa; Arthropoda; Copepoda; Calanoida; Calanidae
Description: tRNA-Phe
Source: RNAcentral